Molecule: ribosomal RNA, 433 nt
Filed under: uncultured bacterium
Lineage: Bacteria
Description: partial 16S ribosomal RNA
Rfam family: Bacterial small subunit ribosomal RNA
Source: RNAcentral
AACGAGCGCUGGCGGCAUGCCUAACACAUGCAAGUCGAACGAGACCUUCGGGUCUAGUGGCGCACGGGUGCGUAACGCGUGGGAACCUGCCCUUAGGUUCGGAAUCACUCCCCGAAAGGGGUGCUAAUACAGGAUAAUGUCAUCGGACCAAAGAUUUAUCGCCUUUGGAUGGGCCCGCGUUGGAUUAGCUAGUUGGUAGGGUAAAAGCCUACCAAGGCGACGAUCCAUAGCUGGUCUGAGAGGAUGAUCAGCCACACUGGGACUGAGACACGGCCCAGACUCCUACGGGAGGGAGCAGUGGGGAAUAUUGGAGAAUGGGCGAAAGCCUGAUCAAGCAAUGCCGCGUGAGUGAUGAAGGCCUUAGGGUUGUAAAGCUCUUUUACCCGGGAUGAUAAUGACAGUACCGGGAGAAUAAGCUCCGGCUAACUCCGUG